Molecule: long non-coding RNA, 227 nt
Filed under: Lathyrus oleraceus (garden pea)
Lineage: Eukaryota; Viridiplantae; Streptophyta; Magnoliopsida; Fabales; Fabaceae
Description: Pisum sativum (pea) long non-coding RNA (PSAT_LNC022126)
Source: RNAcentral
AGAGAAGUAGAGAGAUUGAAAAAGAUAUAUUUGAGCCUUGCGUAACUCGUUUCUUGUGGGGUAUUUUUCCUAUCCAUUUCUUCUUCUGUAUGCUAACUCAUAUUUCUUUCGUAUUUCUGCUUUCCGGAUUGUUUAUUUCUGUGUAAGUCACCCCAGCAUCUGUGCUUCAAAUUUUUUGUUUUUUUUAACUUUCAUGAGCUUCCCGUGUCAGAUCUUGGUCGGUUCUU